This 645-nucleotide ribosomal RNA is filed under the name uncultured Lachnospiraceae bacterium. Its description in RNAcentral is "bacterial SSU rRNA". It matches the Rfam family "Bacterial small subunit ribosomal RNA", at positions 63 to 725 of the family's 1533-position model. Lineage: Bacteria; Bacillati; Bacillota; Clostridia; Lachnospirales; Lachnospiraceae. The record is from RNAcentral.
CGAGCGAGAGAGAGCUUGCUUUCUCGAGCGAGUGGCGAACGGGUGAGUAACGCGUGAGGAACCUGCCUCAAAGAGGGGGACAACAGUUGGAAACGACUGCUAAUACCGCAUAAGCCCACGACCCGGCAUCGGGUAGAGGGAAAAGGAGAAAUCCGCUUUGAGAUGGCCUCGCGUCCGAUUAGCUAGUUGGUGAGGUAACGGCCCACCAAGGCGACGAUCGGUAGCCGGACUGAGAGGUUGAACGGCCACAUUGGGACUGAGACACGGCCCAGACUCCUACGGGAGGCAGCAGUGGGGAAUAUUGCACAAUGGGGGAAACCCUGAUGCAGCGACGCCGCGUGGAGGAAGAAGGUCUUCGGAUUGUAAACUCCUGUUGUUGAGGAAGAUAAUGACGGUACUCAACAAGGAAGUGACGGCUAACUACGUGCCAGCAGCCGCGGUAAAACGUAGGUCACAAGCGUUGUCCGGAAUUACUGGGUGUAAAGGGAGCGCAGGCGGGAAGGCAAGUUGGAAGUGAAAUCCAUGGGCUCAACCCAUGAACUGCUUUCAAAACUGUUUUUCUUGAGUAGUGCAGAGGUAGGCGGAAUUCCCGGUGUAGCGGUGGAAUGCGUAGAUAUCGGGAGGAACACCAGUGGCGAAGGCGGC